This 253-nucleotide ribosomal RNA is filed under the name uncultured bacterium. Its description in RNAcentral is "partial 16S ribosomal RNA". It matches the Rfam family "Bacterial small subunit ribosomal RNA", at positions 524 to 776 of the family's 1533-position model. The record is from RNAcentral.
UACGUAGGGUGCGAGCGUUGUCCGGAAUUAUUGGGCGUAAAGGGCUCGUAGGCGGUUUGUCGCGUCUGCUGUGAAAUUUCGGGGCUCAACCCCGAACUUGCAGUGGGUACGGGCAGACUAGAGUGUGGUAGGGGAGACUGGAAUUCCUGGUGUAGCGGUGAAAUGCGCAGAUAUCAGGAGGAACACCGGUGGCGAAGGCGGAUCUCUGGGCCUUACCUGACGCUCAGGCACGAAAGCUAGGGGAGCGAACAGG